CAGAAUAUUGCCAAGGACUGUGACUGGUUGUGGCCAAGGAUCACCAAUUGCACGCAAGAGUAAUGUAAAGAAACUGUCAACCCAGGCCAACCUAAUGCCUACAGCUAUCACUCACCUUUAAUGUCUCA
This is a small nucleolar RNA of Fukomys damarensis (Damara mole-rat), 128 nucleotides long. Lineage: Eukaryota; Metazoa; Chordata; Mammalia; Rodentia; Bathyergidae. The record is from Ensembl.